GUCUCUCUCGUAUUAACUAAGAGGAUAGGACACGAGAAUUGCAGUUAGAGCGAGCUCAUUUUGAAACCAUCCAUGGGUUAUCACACCCCCCCCCCCGCCCCCCAAAUGUGUAAUCUCAGUGCAUCAAAGUUUGCAUCGCUGUUUUUAAAUUAACCUUUUUUAUCUUUUUUUUAAGAAGUCAGGGAUUUUAAAGCCAAUGGUCAGGGAAAUUCCCAAAAAGCCACGGGAAGUUAGAGAAUUUUGAAAUUUUGAUUAAACUUGCAACCCUGCAGUUCCUAUCCUUUAACGUGUAAAAUAAUAAAAAAAAAAAAAAAAAAAAAAAAAAAUGACGUGUCCUUUACUGAUUUUGAAUUUAAUAUUUUCAGGAGAACCCCCGGACUGAGUCAACAGUGGUAGACGAAGACGAGCUGCCGCCUCCGGACAUGGAGCUCCUGGGCUCGGAAGGCGACACGAUCUCCGAGGAGGAUCUGCCGCAACCGCCGGAGUUCGACGACCUCCCGCUCCCGGAGGACCUGGCCGAGCUGGACGAGUACGUGGUGACGCCGGAGAUCCGGGACCAGAUGGUCCGGCGCAACACCAUCAUCGCGGAGACCCGGCUCUCGGGGCUCUCGGCCGCCUCCAUGAACGAGUCCUCCUCGGAGAUCGACUCCUCUCUGUCGAGCGCGGCGACCAAGAUCCAGGCCGGGAUCCGCGGCUACCUCACGCGGAAGCACCUCAAGAACACCUCCUCGACGACGGCCCCCUCCAUGGACGACUCGGAUCUCUCGACCGGCGAGCCGAACCAGAUCAAGAAGGCCCUCUCCGUCGAGGAGACCGAGAUCCAGCGGCAUCCCUUCUCCCCGGAUGAAAAGUACAUGGUGGGGAAGCGGAUGUCCCUGGACUCGCGGAUCAACCCCUCGAGCGGGAGCCGGGGGCGGGCGCCGAUGCGGAGCACGAUGUCGGAGUGCGCCGACGACCGGGACCAGUGGUUCGUGGGCUCGGAGGCGGAGGAGAAGGCGGCGGCCCGGAUCCAGUCCGGCUACCGGGGCUACAAGACGCGGCAGCGGCUCAAGCGCGGCGACGCCGUCCAGCAGCCCACGACGAGCAGCAGCGUGACCCCGGCCUCCGCCUCCCCAGCCACCGCCGCCUCCCCGCGCACCCACUCCGCCGCCAGCGAGGAGCCACCCACCCCCAAGCACACCGGCGAGUACCAUGACGUCCUGGCCCUGUCGCCGCCCGUCCUCCACAGCGGUCAGUACCCACUUCUUUCAUAAUAAUUUACUGAAAAAAAUAAGUUACGGGCUGAAGACAUACCGUCCGUUCCGGGCUCGGAGGUCGAGAUUUCCGGGUGCCGAAGCCGUAGCUUUGAUAUCUCCGGGUGCUGCGCCCGGAGCUUUUGGCCUCUGAGCCUGGAACGUGGACGGUAUGUCUACCCAGCCCGUAAGCACGGAUUCGAAGGCCAGAGA
This 1445-nucleotide long non-coding RNA is filed under the name Bemisia tabaci. Its description in RNAcentral is "lncRNA ENSSSA2NGG014008". The record is from RNAcentral. Lineage: Eukaryota; Metazoa; Arthropoda; Insecta; Hemiptera; Aleyrodidae.